UACAAUAUUACUUUGUUAAUUGAAUCAUAUGAUUCACUUAUUACUAUUCCUACAAAGUUGAAUCAGCUCUUGAGCAGCAACAUCCAUCUCUUCAUCUUUUAUAGCUUUUAAAUUCUUGCUUAUAUCUCUUACUUUAGCCCUCAAAAUUUCCCCAAUUUCCCCCGUUAUGACACCUUUAAGAGUUUCCGCGAUUUCUCCUCUGUAAAUUUUUCCAUCAUCAUCUCUAACAAUCUCAACUGCGACUCCCAAUUCUACUAUCAACCUAGCAUUCAUUGGUUGAUCAAGUUGCAUAGGCAUGGCAACUAUAGGUACCCCAAAAUCUAUACUUUCCAUCGCUGAAUUCCAACCACAAUGACUUAUAAAUCCUCCCGUACUCGGAUGAUUUAGAAUUCUUG
Molecule: unclassified non-coding RNA, 395 nt
Filed under: Hevea brasiliensis (rubber tree)
Lineage: Eukaryota; Viridiplantae; Streptophyta; Magnoliopsida; Malpighiales; Euphorbiaceae
Source: RNAcentral